CACGUAGGGCGCGAGCGUUGUCCGGAAUUAUUGGGCGUAAAGAGCUCGUAGGCGGCCUGUUGCGUCCGCUGUGAAAGCCCGGGGCUUAACCCCGGGUCUGCAGUGGAUACGGGCAGGCUAGAGGUAGGUAGGGGAGAAUGGAAUUCCCGGUGUAGCGGUGAAAUGCGCAGAUAUCGGGAGGAACACCGGUGGCGAAGGCGGUUCUCUGGGCCUUACCUGACGCUGAGGCGCGAAAGCGUGGGGAGCAAACAGG
Molecule: ribosomal RNA, 253 nt
Filed under: uncultured bacterium
Lineage: Bacteria
Description: partial 16S ribosomal RNA
Rfam family: Bacterial small subunit ribosomal RNA
Source: RNAcentral